CAUAUGGUCAUUGUUGCCAGUCUCAUGGUGAGCAUUAAUACACUGGUCUUCAAAAGAUGGUGGCAUAUUCAUACACCAGCUACAUGAUAACGUGCCAGCCGUCACGCGAUUGUCAGGCGCCCAAGUCCAUAACACUCAAUGUGGCAGAGGGGUCUGAGAAUGACCUCAGUGCCGAGUGACUCUGCAAGAUGGCAGGAGGGUACGACUGUCCCGUUAGGUGACCGGCGUUGUUGAUGUGUUUGCAUUGCCCCCUAACAGCUGAAUCUGCUCUCUCUCUUUCAUGGCUGCACCCGUCUUUGCUCUCGCAGCCCCUGCUCGGUCCCUGUCAGGCCUGCAAAGGGAAACUGCUUCCUGAAUAGCUCUUAUUUUAUGCCCUAUCCCUCUGUCAUAUGGUUUUGUUUGCCUGCCUGACUGGAGCAAUUCUCACCGCUCGUCUCUCCAACACCUUCCCACUGUGCCGCUGUCUGCUAAGGAGAUUCCUAUUCAGAAAAAAAAGUUUUGGGGCCAGCAACACGUCGUUUCCUUCGGCUCACACCCAACAGACAUCGCCGACAACUUCUCCACGCAGUAACGUCCCACUCACAUGGAUGAAUUUCCAGCUGAAGUAUGUUCCUUACCACCAGGGGAAGGCUACCCUCAGGAAAGGGAUUCUGCCUUGUCUGCUGCGAUCUCCAGUCCUGGGUCUAAGCAUCUGAUGUCUAACUCUGUCCAAUGUUCAUGGUCCUGCCCCAUGUCCUGGCCUGUCCUCUCGUCCGAUCGCUUGGGUUCCAUCCUGAUUUACUUGGCGCGCCCGGAGUGUGCCAAUUGGAGGGGGAGGAUAUUAUCACAUCCAGCCCCACUCUGGUUGUCUGUUCCCAGUAUUUCCCUUGGGCUUGGCCGCUAAUCAGGUGCUCCUGAAGCUUGUUAGUCUUUCCUCUUGUUCCUGCCCUCUUGUUAACCAGCCCCAGCUGCCUCGUGUUCACCAUUCUGUUAAUUAUGUAUAAAAUGUAUAAAACUGUCUCCUAGUUCUGUGCUUCCUGUUCAGUCAUUGUUCUCUGUUCGCAUAUGUUGCUUAGCCUGUCCUCUCCAAUAAACUCCCCUGCGAAGGGUUGCACUUGCUCCCAGUCUGCAUUCAGGUCAUCCUAACGCUGCU
Molecule: long non-coding RNA, 1132 nt
Organism: Brienomyrus brachyistius
Lineage: Eukaryota; Metazoa; Chordata; Actinopteri; Osteoglossiformes; Mormyridae
Exons: 4
Source: RefSeq, a predicted model, not a curated record